UUUAGUAUAUUUGAUGUAUUGGAGGAAGUUAUUUGAUGUGUUUAUGGAGGUUACAUAUUUAAUAAAUGAUUUUUUUUUUGUAUUUUUUUUAGAAUUUAAGAAUUGAUAGUAAUUGUAACGAUUGAUAAAGGAUAAAAUUGGAUGAAAAAAAUGUCAUACCAUUUUCACCUAUCCCCUUUAUCUAUAGUUUAUCUAUAGGUAUAGAUUUAAGGAUGAUUACAAAAUAUUUUUAAAUUUUAGGUGAAAAAAAAAUUGUUGGUUAAUUAAUGUGCUUUUUU
RNAcentral lists this long non-coding RNA (278 nucleotides) under Lathyrus oleraceus (garden pea). Its description in RNAcentral is "Pisum sativum (pea) long non-coding RNA (PSAT_LNC014155)". The record is from RNAcentral. Lineage: Eukaryota; Viridiplantae; Streptophyta; Magnoliopsida; Fabales; Fabaceae.